AUAGUAUGCGGCGUGAAGACCU
RNAcentral lists this microRNA (22 nucleotides) under Pristionchus pacificus. RNAcentral's name for it is "ppc-miR-8261-3p". Lineage: Eukaryota; Metazoa; Nematoda; Chromadorea; Rhabditida; Neodiplogasteridae. The record is from miRBase by way of RNAcentral.